GGGGUUGUGGCUCAGUGGUUGAGCACUCAUCUCACACUUGCGAGAUCCUGGGUUCAAUCCUCAGCAACACAU
Non-coding RNA from Ictidomys tridecemlineatus (thirteen-lined ground squirrel), 72 nucleotides. NCBI's taxonomy places the organism in Eukaryota, Metazoa, Chordata, Mammalia, Rodentia, Sciuridae. The record is from Rfam.